RNAcentral lists this long non-coding RNA (204 nucleotides) under Trifolium pratense (red clover). RNAcentral describes it as "long non-coding RNA (TPRA_LNC004313)". The record is from RNAcentral. Lineage: Eukaryota; Viridiplantae; Streptophyta; Magnoliopsida; Fabales; Fabaceae.
CUUUGGCGAAUUUGCAAAGGAUCCGGUUGAAAGAAAGGCGUGUUCCUAGAAUUAUGCAGUCCGAUCUUCACCAGCAACAGCUGCAGUGGCAGAAACCUCAAAUUGGGUGGCUCAAAUGUAACGUGGACGCGGGUUUUCACAAUGAACCAAAUACAACAAGCGCUGGGUGGUGUCUACGUGAUCACCGGGGACAGUUUGUGACGG